RNAcentral lists this ribosomal RNA (387 nucleotides) under Crematogaster yamanei. RNAcentral's name for it is "partial 12S ribosomal RNA". The record is from RNAcentral. Lineage: Eukaryota; Metazoa; Arthropoda; Insecta; Hymenoptera; Formicidae.
UAAACUAGGAUUAGAUACCCUAUUAUUUUAAAAUAAAUUUGAUAGUAUUGGAGAGUAAAUGUUAACCAUUAAACUUAAAUAAUUUGGCGGUAUCUUAAAGAAUUAGAGGAAUCUGUUUAAUAAAUGAUAAUCCACGAUAGGGAUGUCUUAAUAUAUUUUUAUAUAUUGUUGUUUGAAUAUUAGUUUAAGAGAAUUUAAUAGAGAUUUAGAAUUUUAAAAUAAUUCAAAUCAAAAUGUAGAAUUAUUAAGUUUUAAUGGAUUACAGUUUAAUUUAAUAAUGGAUUUUAAGUUUUAAAUAUUUAAAUGAGAUAGGAUUUAAUAGUAAGAUUAUAAAAUAUUAUAGUUUGAAGUUUCUAUAAGAUAUGUACAAAUUGCCCGUCAUUUUCA